UACAGAGGGUGCGAGCGUUGUCCGGAAUCACUGGGCGUAAAGGGCGCGUAGGCGGCUCAGUAAGGUUGCGGUGAAAGCCCGGGGCUCAACCCCGGGUCGGCCGUGGCAACUGCUGGGCUGGAGCACUGUAGAGGCAGGUGGAAUUCCGGGUGUAGCGGUGGAAUGCGUAGAUAUCGUAAGGAAGACCAGUGGCGAAGGCGGGUCUCUGGACAGUUCCUGACGCUGAGGCACGAAGGUCAGGGGAGCAAACGGG
Molecule: ribosomal RNA, 253 nt
Filed under: uncultured bacterium
Lineage: Bacteria
Description: partial 16S ribosomal RNA
Rfam family: Bacterial small subunit ribosomal RNA
Source: RNAcentral